AGCAAUAAACCAGGAAUGAGGGGAGCCCUGGUGACAAAGAGGACACUGGAUUCUCUCUGUGGUCAAGGAGAGAUGGCAGUGAGAGGGGUAAAUUCACUCAGUUACCCAACUUCCUCUUAGGAGAGUGGCAAGGGUGACAAGCCUCACCUGGCUGAGAGUGAGGUUUGUUUGGGCCCCAUUGUCAUAGCAACAAGGGAAUGUUUGGUAACAGAGCCAGUGACUUCACAGAAGCUGGUCUUAAUUCCACAUUUCUGAAGCUCAGGGAAGAGCAGAGCCAGCCAGGAGAGAAUGUGGAGGCAGAGGAAGACAAUAGUUCCCUUGGAAGAGCUGUGACUACUAGAAAAGUACUGUCCUGUCAUAGAACUUCUGGAAAGAGGAAAAGAAUAUCACUGACCUUCAGAGACAAAUAGAUCCAAUCCUGCCUCAGUAUAUAAGACCCCCAAGUUUGGUUACUCUUUGGAAAAUCGCUGAGGUGGGGUUCCAAGAGACACUGUUUCCAGAGCUUUGACACUUGGUGGUAUAAAGUGCUUGAUUCUGGGUGGUGGAGAAAUCUUGAGCACUCUCUUGUCCUGAUUAAAGACUUGGCCUUUCUAACUACUUUGGGGCUUGUGUGUUUUCCAAAGUUGACACCUGGAACCAAACCUCCAUCUCAUUUCCUAGUCUGCAGCUUGACACUCAGGUGCCCCCAGAGUUCUGUUCUCUUCUCUGCUCACUAAGGGCAGGGGUUGUUUUCCCUUAUUGGAUGGUUAAAGUCUACGCUUAGCAAGUCCCUGUUACAUAGUAAGUACCCAAUAAAUAUCACAACUCUGUCUAUCUGUCUGUCUUU
RNAcentral lists this long non-coding RNA (826 nucleotides) under Monodelphis domestica (gray short-tailed opossum). RNAcentral describes it as "lncRNA (ENSMODG00000030447.2)". Lineage: Eukaryota; Metazoa; Chordata; Mammalia; Didelphimorphia; Didelphidae. The record is from RNAcentral.